GACAGAGGGGUGGGACACAGGUGGGCCAAAGAAGUAAUCUGGUCAGGAAGGACUUCUGAGUCAGCACCUUUUUGCUGGGGGCUGUUCAUUAACAUUUCUUUGAGGUGGACUUUGGCCUAGGGCCUUUUCGGGACUUCCAUGAGUUGUCCUGUUUUCCCUGAGUCAUUCUCCGCAUGGUCUCCAUUUUAGAUUUCACUCUAUAUUAGACCCGAUUUAUCUAACUACACUGACUACCUAACUUUAAAUCUGGCUUCAGUGAUUGGACUCUCUCUGCUUCCAGAUCACCACAUAAGCCACUUCUCUCUGCCACACUCUUCCGCCAUGUCAUUCCUGUCUCAACUAGAGCCCUAAGGAAUGAGCCAGCUGUCUGUGGAUUGAGACCUCUGAAACCCUGAGCCUUCAAAUUAACUAUUCCUCCUCUACAGUUGCACUAGUCAGCUCAUUUAGUCACAGCAGUGAAAAAAGCUGACUAUAACACUCCUUUUGUGCAAGGCUACCUCAGGUGAUUUCUGAUUUUUGAGUGUGUGUGUGUGUGUGCGCGCGCGCCACAGUCUGGCUGGGCACAAAAUCACGAGCCACUCAAGCAGGAACAAACUUUAUUUUCAAAACUCCCGCCAAUGCCAUGCACGCAGCCUUCUCCCGGGGCACACUACACCAACAGGAAAUCCCUCCUCUGGAAUUCCCUCCUACCACACUUCCUCAACCAAUGGGAACUCUCCGGGAGUCGUGAGAGCUCCAAAGUAGCAGGCCUAGGCAGACAGCAGGGGUCUAAUCUCCAAUUGAAUGCACAUCUUAACAUAAUCAUUAUCAUCUCAAGGGCUUGCUGGUGUCACCUUUCCACCAAAAAUGCCCUGUGUCAUUCCUACUUGGCUAUGGCUCUCAGCGUGUGUGUGUGUGUGUGUGUGUGUGUGUGUGUGUGUGUGUGUGUACACCCUGUUAGCCUAACUUGACUAGCAUCUCUCAGUACAAGGAUCCUGCUCAGUUCACCUUUGUACUGUAAGAGUCUGCCUCUUCCAGAGAUGUUGUCUGAUGAUGGCAGUCAUCAGAAUUCUAACCACACCACGUUAGACUUGCCACAUGAAUAAGACAGACUGUGACUGGAGUUUAUUGUGUGCUAUUUGGAGUAGGAAAGGUAAGUAUGUCAGUUACUCUUAUUUGAGGUAUGAUUAGACGCUGUCCACUGAAAGCAUUAUCUGUGAGGUACUAUCCUCAGAAGAGGCCAAGAUCUAUCUGAUAGGGAGAUCAGGGAGCCUUCAGAGGGAACCUGGCUCUGAGCUGUGCACUGAAGAAUGGGCAGUAUUUUGAAGGUGGUGCUACAGCAGUUCAUUCCUCAGAAGUCAACUUUGGCCUGGGAGGACAGAAGAUCAGAAGUAUGAAAGAAGGGUAAUCAAGUGAAUGGAGUGAGAGCAAAAGUGUUUUUCCACAUCUUAUCUAUUUUGGUCCUUGAAUCAUAAUGUUGAGAUAAGUGCCAUUACAUCCAUUUGACAGAUGAGGAAACUGAAAGCUCAGUGGUCAAGGGACUUGGCUGAGCUCUCACAGUUGGCUGGCAGGGGGAACUGGGAUUUAAACUCAGUAUUGGCCAACCCAGUCUGUAGAGCUGCCAAAAAAGUUGGUAAGAGAGUAUGUACACUCUAAUUCUGCUAGCCUGAGGUGUGGGGCUUGUCCUAGGCCCUGAGUAUGUCCUGGUCCAAACCACUUUGCUACACAUCUUGUUUUCUAUUCCCUUGCUUUCUACCUCAGUGAUCAGUUCAACUUCUAUCACCAGUACAAAGAGAUUGAGGAGUUUGAAUUGUGUUGCUUGUCCAUGAGCUGGUCCACAUCUCCCUCAGAUUCAAGGAAGGACUGGUGCACUUGAAUCAAAAGAGUAUAUAUUUCAAAAAAUAAAAUUUAUGAUGACACCCAAUAGAGUCAACUUAUUUAGUUAAUUAUGAAUAGUGCUGUGUUGAUUGAGAGGAGAAUCCAAAUCUGGAAGGAGAUUGAAGGUGUGCUGCAUUGCACAACUGUCCCAAGGAACCAUCCUUAAUCCCUAGUACUACAUCCUUUUAUCUCUAGUACCACAGUUGGGAACUGCUGAGUCCAGCAUAUUUUAUCCAUCCACUUUAGAGACGAUGCUGAUAGAUUCUCCAGAAUGACUGGGGAGCCAAAGUUUUUAUCAACCAGUCUGUCACUUCUGUGGAAUAGAAUUGUCUCCCUUUACUGCUCCCUUUAUAGCAAAGUUGCUUUUCAGAGUACUUUCUACUUGCAGUAUUAUUCUUGAUUGUAUCAAAUUAGUUCCACAAUAGUACUGCCAAUUUUCUUCCAUAAAUAGUCCAUUGCCAUGUGACUUUAAAAUCCAUACACCUCUUUAUUUUGCUGCUAAUUCCUCCCCUAUUCAUUUUCCUACUAGGAUAAAGCACGGCUGGGGCAGGAUUGGUAGGGAAACUGUAUGGUGUGCAAGUAUCAUCUGUAGUCAGCAGAUCAACCCUUGCUAUCAUCCCUCUCAUUUAGAAAUUUUGAUGUUUACUCUUGUCCCUUUAUCCCCCUUUACUGGUCCCUUUGUAGCAAAGUUACAUUUCAGCGUACUUUCUACUUGUAGUAUUAAUUUUAGUCAUAUCAAAUUAAUUCCAUAAUAGUACUGCCAAUUUCCCCCUGAAAAUAUCAAUAAGACCACAGCUUUGAACUGCUUGUAAUAAAGGAAAGAAAGUCAGCAAGAGUGAAUGUUUUCUGAGCACUCCACCUGUAUACAGGUAGCUGUAUGAGAUUCUGCACUGUUGUCUGCUCUGUGGUAAAUCAAAGCUAACAUUCCUUCAGGGACUUGCAGUGGAGGCUGUCUGUCUUAGAUAUUUCUUUGAUUCCUGGAUUGCUCAAUUCAAUUUCUGUCUUCCCAGAAAAGCUUCACUCUAGCUUGGUCCAAGAAGCCCACCUCCUCUGAAACUAUUUCCUCCUGCUAUUUACCCAGUGUCCAAAGAACCUCAUGUUAGAUUUCCCACCUCAGCCAUGAAGUAAAGACAGCUUUGUAGUUUUGACCUUCAUAUUGUUUCUCUGGAGCAGAUGCAGAUGCACAGUCAACUGAAUAUAGUCUCUGUCUGUCUGUGUAUGUAUGUAUGUGUCUGUCGUGCGUGUUGCUAGGGAUUGAACUCAGGAUCUCAUGAAGGCUAGGGAAGCACAUUACCAUUGAACUAAAUCCCCUUUCCUACAAAGGAUGUUUCACUCAAACAGUUCAGGACACUUCCACUCUCCUGUCUCCAUCACUCUUGCUUUCAUGCUGUAUAGCAAUGCAAUGACAUUUGGGGACUCCAACUAAGGGAACAUUAAGUUGGAGUACAUUCAGUUUGGAUUUGGAAAGAUAUAUUUCAGGGACUCCCAACUAAUUCUGAACAUUUUCAAGUUAUAGCUAGUUGCCCCAGAUUGGAAUAGUUCCUAGGAAUACUUGCUUUGCCAACCAUAUCCAGUGUCAGGACAAGAGGUGCAGAGCUGGAGUACAUAUUGUGAUGUCACUGUGUCUGACAUAACUUUGUACCAAAGGUAUGUUGGCAGUGGAAGAAUCAAAGUUCACAAGAUAUAGGGCCAGAAGCUAGUCUGUGGAAAAAUCUAGGCAUCAAUCAGUUGUGUGAUGUUGGAAAUGGAGAAUUCAGUUUUCAUUGCCAAACAAAAUAUAUCCUCUCAGGAAUAUAGUGUGCUGUAUAUGCAACUAUAAAUACCCUGUACAUUUACUUUAAUAUUUGGCUGGGGGUUGUGUGAAAUGGCAUUUUUCAGAAUUCCUGCAGUUGUAGCUAGAAACAUUGAAUAGUAUACAGAAAAUAGUCAAUCUAACAGGCCUGAGGCUAUUGACCUUAGAAAAACCUGCUUAUAAUCUUGGCUCUCUGCUGUUUUCUGGGAACUUGGCUCUCAGAAUGUCCCCAGUCAACUAAGACUGAAUUUGCUUGCUUAGAUGUUUGCACAAACAACAUAGUUUAUGCUGAACCACCACUUUCCUUCUGAAAGUGGAAUUUUGUCACAUGUUAAGCUGAGGGUGCCUGUGUGACUAGCCCCCAAUAUAAAUUGUAAGCACUAAGUUUGGACUGCUCUGUGCAGAAAAAUCGCAUACAUUACUGCAUUUUUGUUGCCAAGAAAAAAGUAUUAUCUGGGUGGUCUCUCAGGGGAAGGAGGUAGCAUAAGGAGGUAUACAUGUUAUUCCUCCAGACUCGACCUGUGCCUUUUCCCCUUAUAAUCCUGCUGUGUGCCCUGACUACUUUGCUGUAAUAAAUAAAUAAAUGUAAUAAGUGCUGAGUCCUCUGAGUUUCCAAC
This 4266-nucleotide long non-coding RNA is filed under the name Marmota monax (woodchuck). The record is from RNAcentral. Lineage: Eukaryota; Metazoa; Chordata; Mammalia; Rodentia; Sciuridae.